This 458-nucleotide ribosomal RNA is filed under the name uncultured bacterium. RNAcentral's name for it is "partial 16S ribosomal RNA". It matches the Rfam family "Bacterial small subunit ribosomal RNA", at positions 338 to 795 of the family's 1533-position model. The record is from RNAcentral.
CCUACGGGUGGCAGCAGUGAGGAAUAUUGGUCAAUGGGCGAGAGCCUGAACCAGCCAAGUCGCGUGAGGGAGUACUGCCCUAUGGGUUGUAAACCUCUUUUGUCGGGGAGCAAAAGCCGGACGUGUCCGGCUGUGAGAGUACCCGAAGAAAAAGCAUCGGCUAACUCCGUGCCAGCAGCCGCGGUAAUACGGAGGAUGCGAGCGUUAUCCGGAGUUAUUGGGUUUAAAGGGUGCGCAGGCGGAUUUUUAAGUCAGCGGUAAAAUCGUGGGGCUCAACCCCAUCCAGCCGUUGAAACUGGGGAUCUAGAGAGUGCGAGGGGUAUGCGGAAUGCGUGGUGUAGCGGUGAAAUGCAUAGAUAUCACGCAGAACCCCGAUUGCGAAGGCAGCAUACCGGUGCACAACUGACGCUCAGGCACGAAAGCGUGGGUAUCGAACAGGAUUAGAUACCCGUGUAGUC